This 3155-nucleotide long non-coding RNA is filed under the name Brachypodium distachyon (stiff brome). Its description in RNAcentral is "long non-coding RNA (BDIS_LNC002932)". Lineage: Eukaryota; Viridiplantae; Streptophyta; Magnoliopsida; Poales; Poaceae. The record is from RNAcentral.
AAAUGUUAACUCACGCAUAAAUCAAGCCCCAGUGCCUCCCUACGAUGAACACUUCACAACAUACACGCAAUGUGUUCAUCGCAGGUUGCAACAACAAUGAUAUCAUUACAUCACUCUAAGACACAAGAAUUAAGUCAAACUCAUACAUAGAGCAAAAUGCCAAAUUAUUACAACUCACGGACACAUGUCUACAAUCAUCAUUACACCAGCGGAAGCAAAAUAGGCUCGAGUACGGACAAGUUACAAUUAUUGCCUAAAAGGCUGAAACUGAAAAGGAGAGCCACCACAAGUUCACAGAACCCUGCUCUGGAAUCUUCUGGCUAAACGUCGAAGCUGUCGUCGUCAAACUCCACGAAGUAACCACUCACAUGUUCUUCCGGAAACUCUGGAGAAAAACAACGUUGCAAAGCAACUGAGUACAAAGUACUCGCAAGACUUACGGGAGAUCUAAACUAGAUAUGCAACAAGUCUCAAAGGAUGGAUAAAAGAUGGGUUAUGCAGCAGCGAUAUAUCUGGUGAGACACACUAAUGACAUCGUCUAGAUAGAGGAUAAGGAGCGUCUACCAAGGGAGGUAAUAAACUAAUAACUAACACCAAUCAAACACAACCUCUUAUCACCCCCUCAACCUCUUGUGAGGAAAUGAUCCGAAGGCACUCACACUUAAGCAAUUGUAGGCAUAUCCAUGAUUAAGACUAAUUACUACUCAAGUUUAAGAGGUUAAGUUGAUUAAUUGGUAUGAGUUCUCUAUGAUCAAGUAAUGACCAACCAAGUCGUCCAUGACCGCGGACACGGCUUUCCGAAAGAUUUAUCCCUGCAGGGUGUGCCAAUUUACCCGUACACGUUCGUCCAACCCUUGAUGCCACUAGCAUGGAACACACGCAAAAACAUGUGCCGGCAGGAUUGAGCGACACGACGUUUCCAAGCCCCACAACUAAUCCAGGGUACCACCCAACCGAGUCUAAUCCGAAAUGAGAGCCCGGCCGAAGCGUUGUACGGACUCAAGAGUUGCGGGAACAGCUGGUAGUGGUUCAGUGUCCGCAGAAUAACCACUCCAGACGUGUGCCGCAGUCCUAUAUGUAUGCAAAGUGACAACAAGUCUCCAAACACAACACCAGUGUAUAUGCGAUAUGCCAAAUGGAACGUCCGAACUAUGUGGCCCCUGGAAGAGCUAUGAAACGAGUACUAAGCCGAGGGGGAACCCAUAUAUUCUCCCACGAGCGGUUAGCGCGAAGUUUCUUGGGUCGGCGAAAACGAGAACUCAGUCCUUAGGUCGGCGCCAAUGGAACAAAACACCAAUGCGUUAGCACGGCCUCCCAUCGUUGCCUUGUGCAGGUAAUAACAGGUCACAAUUUAAAUAAUUGCAAUUAAAUACAGAAAAGUAGCACGUGGAUGUAGCAAUUGUAUAACUCCAAGUAAGCACACUAGACUAGCAAUCUAUGCAGACUUCUAAUGACCCACCAGGACAAUAACAAACAUGUGACAUGGUAAUAGGAUAAGGAACAAGACAACCGGCAUUUGAGUAGAGCUGACUAAAGCUAUGCAGUCCUAGAGGCAUCGUGUCAAGAACCGAGAACGUAACUUAAUGCAAGAAUGAGAGAGAGGCAUUGGUAUAAUCAAUAUGUUCAAGGAAUGGCUGCUUGCCUGGAUUCUCGGUCGCUGGGCACCGAGAGAGGGGAUCCGAAGAAGUGGGAAAACCCGGAUCAUCGACGGAGUAAAUCGGAGUCGCUAUCGUAAAGAUCCAAAUCACACAAUACGCGAAUAAGUAACAAUUCAUUGGUGCAAUGCACAAUACAACAUGACAUGGCAUGUGACAACAUGAUGCGACCAUAUGCGAAUGAAAGGAUUCCAUUUAGCAACAAAGUUAACUAGUAGGUGACUAGAUCAUGGUAAACAGCAGCUUUAAAAUACACAAAUGGCCUAACCAAAUAUGCUACUGUGUUCUAAAAGUUACAGGGAUCAACUUUGAUGUUUACACUAACCAUAGAAGAGUUACCAAUUUUAAACUAGAGGCGAAACAAGUUCAUACGUUUGAAUUUCAAAUCUGGGACAUAUUUGAAAUUUGAAACCUCAAAAUGUAAUUCUAGCUGCACAGUAAAAUUCCUUGCACUUUUUUUAUUCCAAAACAUAUAUGGUUUGCCCAAAUAGGACAUAGCAUGCAUUUUCUAGGAAUUAAACAAGACAAAACAAUUUCUGGAAUUUUACAACAAGGAAAACACGCAGAGAACUAAAACUACACGGGCGCAGCUAGCCUGUGUGGCUGACAGCGGGCCCGGACAAGCUAACGAGGCGGGGCGCGCUGAGCUGGCUGCCGCGGUCUCUGACCAGCAGGACCCACCUGUCAGACGUGGCCAAAGAGUAAAAAGGUGGGGUUUUUACCCUGCGCCCACGGGAGAUCGAACCCGGGUCGGUUUGACCGAGCGAACGAACGAGCGAGGUGGCCAGGCGGGCUGCGAUUUGGAUCUUACAAGAUCCAGGGCGCAAGCCCUCUUAACCCAUCCCAAGCGGGCGGCCUGGGAGCACGCGCGGCGGCCACGGCGAGCAUGGACGCCGGCGACCAAGCUAGCGGCGGAGGGACUCCCUAACUCGGAAAAACGGAAGCGCGCGGAAACAACUAGCCUAGGUGGCACGAAGGCCACCAUAGUGUCCUUAAGGAGACGACGGCGCGGCGACGAGCCGAAGCUCGCCGGCGGCACGGAAGGGCGCGCGGGCGGCGCUACGACGCUAGGGUGCAUGAAAAACGGCGCGGAAAGAGGCAGGAGGAAGAGCAACUCACCCCGGUGACGUGCGAGGAAGCUGACGAGGAAUAGACGAGCGGUUUCGCCGGAAUUUGGCCGGAGAUGAGCGGCGGCCGGAGAUGGGGAAGACGAUCUAGACGUCGAUGUAGGUGCCCUCCGUCCAAUUCCUCGCACGUAGACGAAGCAGGCGACAACACGGUUCGGGUGACGCAGUCGGCUUGCCGCCGUUCAGCCGGAGACGGUGGCACGACGCAGCGGCGUCCACGGCCGAAGGAGCGAGGCGACGGCGCUGCGCAGAAGGGGAAGGAGAAAACCCUAACUAGGGUUUCCUAGAGGCGGCGCGGGCAGGAGGAGGUGCGGCGCAGCUUAUGUAGGCGAGGGGGAAGGCGUGGCUGUCGCUAUCGAAGAGGACGUGGCCG